AAAAGAAAUCGCCCCGAACAUCAAACCCGCCCACUCGCCUCGGUCAGGGAGAGCACGGGAACUCGCUCGGACCGCGCGCCACGUGAGCUCGAGGGGGCAAUUCGGUACAUUCCGGGUGGCCGAAGAUAUUCCUCGAGAUGCGAGGUGGGGACCACGCGUUGGCUUCGGUUUCUGAGCAGCUGACCGUCGUAGCGGUCGAGCAACGCGGAGAGGAGGAGCGGCGUGGGUCCGCGUGAAGAGACAACCUAAGCAGAAUCCACGAGGCAAAUUUCUACUCAGUUUUCGUGGAUAAAAGUCUUCGUUUAGUUACUUUAGGGUUUCCACCAUUGCUUAGGGCCUCAGCUUGCACAGCAGAGUUUACUCUUACCGAUCUAGCAAAUUCAUCCAUCAAAUCUCCAUAAUUGUUUCGGCAAACACAGCUUAUUGCUCCGAUUGUCGUUCCGGGCAAGAAAAUCUAUUUAUAUUGAUUUUGAGGGUGUCUUCGCUUGGGCCAAACUAGAUCUGAGAGGAUAGAUGCAAGGAGGUCGAAACAUGCAGAGGAUGAUUGAAUUUAAGUGGCCAUUCAUCUAUUCGACCAAGUCCAUAAGGUAUCGCGUUGGAUUUUCUUGGGCGUUGAGAUUUCCGCCUUGUGAAGACAACGACUCUAAGCACGUGGUUACUGUUCCCGGUGCAUCAAUUACUAAUUUACAUAUACCUCAACCAUUUUGACGCAUUGGCGCGAUUCUGAUUGCCAACUGGUUCGAUUAUAUAACUCAAACCAAUAAAGAGUAGUGGGCAACAAGGCAUUUCGUGUUUCCUGAGAAGCAUUCUGAUUUUUCCUCCGUCAGAGUUGAAAGCAAACAGUAAGGGCAGAGUCAGAGCAAAGACGAAAUGCAUCGUCCCAUUUUUGGUCAUUCUUUCGCCGUGCUCGUGGCACCCAUCCUUCUCUCCGUGCUUGCGUUUAAAUUUCUAAACAAGAAGAAAACCAGCGUGCGUAAAAAUGUAAAAGAUGCUGAUGCUGCCACAUCUGGUUCGUUGACUGCACCGAAGGAAACUGAUUCCGAUGGCUCUAGUUUGUUUCCGACAAAAACUAACAAUGGUGCAUCCUGUUCGUCGACCACAUCGACUGGAAACUACUAUGAGGUGUUCUUGAACUUUAGAGGCCAAGAUACUCGAAGAGGCUUCACCGAUCACCUCUACAAUGGGCUUGUUGAUGCUGGAAUUUCUGUUUUCAAAGAUGAUAACGAACUCCGCCAAGGCGAGAAGAUCAGACCAGACCUUUUGACAGCCAUUAGAACAGUAAGAUCCUAAUCCCCAUUAUAUCCGUUAAUUAUGGGCAGAGCAGGUGGUGCUUGGAUGAACUAGUUCAAAUAAUGGAGUGCAAGAAGAGUAACAUGGGUUACACCGUGUUGCCCAUAUUCUACAAAGUGGAACCAUCUCAUGUGCGAUUUCAAAGUGGGAGUUUUGGAGAUGCAUUUCGUACACGUAGUAAGCAUUUCGACUCAAUGACUUUGGAGAAAUGGAAGCAAGCACUCAACGAAGUCAGUUCCUUGAAAGGAUUUGAUGGGUUUUUUACAAAAAAAAAGAAGAAGAAGAAAAAGCAGUAAGAUCUUGCGAUGCAUGAGUUCCAUAAGUCAUUCUGUUUCAAGAAUUACUUUAAUGGUAUCAACAAAUCUUGUCGUAGAAUUUAUUGUUAUCAUCCCACUAGCUUGAAUAAUAUAGAAUUUUUAAUUGACUUAUUA
Long non-coding RNA from Eucalyptus grandis, 1721 nucleotides. RefSeq lists it as uncharacterized. The record is from RefSeq and is a predicted model, not a curated record. NCBI's taxonomy places the organism in Eukaryota, Viridiplantae, Streptophyta, Magnoliopsida, Myrtales, Myrtaceae. The transcript has 4 exons.